UUUUUUUUUUUUUUUUUUUUUUUUGAGAACAGUAGGAUUUGGUAAACUGGAGGCUCUAGGGAACAGCAAGGGGAUUCAUUUGUCACCAGAACAAGAGAACUAAGAUUACACCAUGACUUAGAGUGAAGAGGAAGAAAACAGAGUCUUUAGAAGACUUACAAAGUGAAAUAAAGGAAAAAUGAGUAUUCCUUCUAUCUUUGAGUUGAAGAUGACUUAGCACAUCUACAUGUGUGACAGAUCACCACACACAAUUCUCGUGUGCUACUGACUCAGAAUCAGCAUAUACCUAUUGUACAAUUAGCUUUCCAGGUGUUGACAACAUUCAGCCAGUUUGGAGAACUGGUACAGUGGAUGUGGAACAGGCACUCUGAUCCAGGGAGCUGUUUGGUCUUCCUGCUGCAAGAACAGAGAAGCGCAGGAGUGAAUAGAACCAUGGGGCCUUGUGGGAUCAAGGUCAUAAGUUGCAUGAUAAAAAAUGGAAAGCAGAAUUUUGAAGAUCUAGCAUGUUUACAGAUGCAGGAUCUGGAAAGUAGCAAGGAAGCCCUGAUCAUUAAAUCCCAAGGUAAUUUAGCAGUAAGAUCAAGAGGAGGAGAUUGGACACAACAAAAUUUGCACUUUGAAAUUACACUUUGAAAAGGGCCUGAAAAUAGAGAGGACUGAUUUGCUACUUAAAUCCAUAUACCUGUAAAAAUUUCCUGAGUGCCCACUAUGUGCUAAGUACAAUGUGAGUAGUUUUACAGUCAUAAUUUUAAUCUUAAUGAAGAGAGCAUAAGGCAGGCAUUAUCACCAUUUUCCUGGGAGCAGCUUAAGCUCUGAAAAGUCAAACACCUUGUCCAAGUUUCUAAUCCAAGCCUUCUUUCUGUGAUGUGGUCCUGUUACCACAGAAUAUUCUGCAUUCCUCUCGCUAUUCCUGAAAACCACGCUAGUGGAGACAGCCUGCCUGAUAACCUUAACUCCACUUCUGCAGCUUGCAGGCCUCGAGGAACACCAAGGUUGAUCAUAAGGAAGGAACGAUGCAAUUUUCACGCUUUCUUUGACAAAAGGAUAUAGUGCUUAUUCCAUUGAAAUAAAGGAGCAAUUAAACAAAUUCAUGGGUUACAGUCUUGCUUUCCUUCUAUACUAAGAAAUAUGGGAAAAACAAAAGCAGACUUUGAACUCUCACCAUGUUCUGUAAAGACAUAUUACUUUAAAGUCAGAGUGAGUCAGCCAAAGAGAGGUCAUUCUCAGCUUUUCCUGAAGCUCUGUUUUCUCAAGCAUACUCCCAAAUAUUGGAUCCUGAAAAAAAAAAAAAAAAGGUUUAUGAUGUCCAAAGUAAACCAGCCAGAGGCAAGAGUAGCACUCAAAUGUCUUUUUAAUCAUUACUUCUUUUCCUCCCACUUCUCAGCAUGUACACCUAACUGCCAACCCACCAGGUGGUUGUGACAAGCAAUUCAAUAACUUCAAUAAAUGUAAGGACAUCAAUAUCGCCAAUGUAUUAAAAUACCUAAUUGUUACCCAAACGAGCAGGACAUCACAAUGAAAUCCUGAAAAUAAUACUUUUAAUUUUUUAAAUUUCUUUUUGGAAUAUACAUAUAUGUGUAUAAAAGUAUAUGUGCAAUAUGUGUAUGUGGAUAUCCAAACACACACACACACAAACUUUUCUUUCAGUUCUAACAUAGAACUAGUGAGCUACGAAAAUGCUAGAAACAUAAGGUUACUUUUCCAACUUCAGAAACAGUAGCAGUGGCCAGGAAGAAAAGAGAGGAUCUCUGUCAAGUCUGGGUGUGACCCCAGGUUUCUGUGUUCUUUAAGGACCAGAACAAAGGCGUGCAGAGGGCCAGGCAGCCUUGGUUGCGUUGGCAGUCGAAGUUCAACAUGCCCUGUUUUCAUCUUCCUUGGAUAGGACCAGAGUGCCAGGUGUGAUUUUUUGGUUCUCUGCCCAGGUUUGCAGGAAUUGCAAGUGGUGCCAGUCACAUUCAGUCACGGCCAGAAAGAGCAUCCUGAUCGUGAGCAUAUUGUACUGAGUCAGAGGAGGCCCCAGGCAGGCACAGAGAGUUCCAGGCACUCUUUUAGGGAUAACAUAGAAUAUCUUUAGGAUUCAAAGGAAAAAGUCUUCAUGAGGAUUGACCCUGGCAAAGAAUAAAACUAUGAUUUUUUUUUUGUACUUCAAUUGCAAGUGUCUUUUUCAUAAUGCAAAAUCCCAUGAACAUUCUUUGCCCUUCCGUUUUUGCACUGGUAGCCGUUAAGAUGGAAAACUGGACUAUUUAAUUGAUCUUAUGACUUCUUGAAGCACUAUCAUUUCCUUAAGGGAAAAAAUUAAAGGAAACCAAUGUUGUGCAGACUAUCCCAUUGCUAACAAUGUUGCUGUUGAAAAAAUUGACUGAUCCUUCCUAAAAUGGGUACUCGUUCAUUCAAAAACAUUUCUCCUGUUUUAAGUCUUUGGGCAAUUAAGAAAAACAACAGUAACCCAUAUUAAAAUGAUUAAGUAUGAAGAUGUUUGCUAUUAUAGAGACAAUGCUUCAGAACUAAAUAAAUGUAAAAGUGAAACCUUUACUCACUGUGAAAGAGUAACAGUGAUGUUUUCAUUUUGAAAAUAUAUUCUACAAAUGAACUUCUCAAAAUAUAUUCUUUAAGUCCUUAAGAAUGUAUGACUAUGGAAAAAAAUAAUUACCUCUUCAAGUUGAGGGGAGAAAAAUCGUUGGAACAGUUUAGGCAAUGCCUAUCCAAAAAAAAAAAA
RNAcentral lists this long non-coding RNA (2716 nucleotides) under Canis lupus familiaris (dog). RNAcentral's name for it is "lncRNA (ENSCAFG00000051937.1)". The record is from RNAcentral. Lineage: Eukaryota; Metazoa; Chordata; Mammalia; Carnivora; Canidae.